UACGGGGGGGGCAAGCGUUGUUCGGAAUUACUGGGCGUAAAGGGCUCGUAGGCGGCCAUCUAAGUCGGAUGUGAAAUCCCCAGGCUUAACCUGGGAACUGCAUCCGAUACUGGAUGGCUUGAAUCCGGGAGAGGGAUGCAGAAUUCCAGGUGUAGCGGUGAAAUGCGUAGAUAUCUGGAGGAAUACCGGUGGCGAAGGCGGCAUCCUGGACCGGCAUUGACGCUGAUGAGCGAAAGCUAGGGGAGCAAACGGG
Molecule: ribosomal RNA, 253 nt
Filed under: uncultured bacterium
Lineage: Bacteria
Description: partial 16S ribosomal RNA
Rfam family: Bacterial small subunit ribosomal RNA
Source: RNAcentral